GCAAAUAUAGUUUAACAAAAACAUUAGGUUGUGGACCUAAAAACAGGGGUUAAAGUCCCCUUAUUCGCC
RNAcentral lists this transfer RNA (69 nucleotides) under Protopterus annectens (West African lungfish). RNAcentral's name for it is "tRNA-His". It matches the Rfam family "tRNA". Rfam says of the family: Transfer RNA (tRNA) molecules are approximately 80 nucleotides in length. Their secondary structure includes four short double-helical elements and three loops (D, anti-codon, and T loops). The record is from RNAcentral. Lineage: Eukaryota; Metazoa; Chordata; Ceratodontiformes; Protopteridae.